RNAcentral lists this ribosomal RNA (301 nucleotides) under uncultured bacterium. Its description in RNAcentral is "partial 16S ribosomal RNA". It matches the Rfam family "Bacterial small subunit ribosomal RNA", at positions 509 to 807 of the family's 1533-position model. The record is from RNAcentral.
CAGUAGCCACGGUAAUACGUAGGUGGCAAGCGUUGUCCGGAAUUAUUGGGCGUAAAGGGCUCGCAGGCGGUUUCUUAAGUCUGAUGUGAAAGCCCCCGGCUCAACCGGGGAGGGUCAUUGGAAACUGGGAAACUUGAGUGCAGAAGAGGAGAGUGGAAUUCCACGUGUAGCGGUGAAAUGCGUUGAGAUCGGAAAGAACACCAACGGCGAAAGCACUCUGCUGGGCCGACACUGACACUGAGAGACGAAAGCUAGGGGAGCAAAUGGGAUUAGAUACCCCUGUAGUCCCUGUCUCUUAUAC